This is a non-coding RNA of Lonchura striata (white-rumped munia), 337 nucleotides long. The record is from RefSeq and is a predicted model, not a curated record. Lineage: Eukaryota; Metazoa; Chordata; Aves; Passeriformes; Estrildidae.
GAAGCAUCGAGGCAGAAGGACUCAUAGGAUCCAAGAGUGGCAGAGCACUGAUGUGAGACAAAGAGCUCCUGGGGAGGGAGUGAGGAAGAAAAGUACAAGAAGUCCAGUGCUCUUGAGGAACAAGAAACCCCCAAGCUUAACCUGCCAAAAAAGCAAGGUUACCAAGUCUCUAGUGAAACCUCAAGGAGGAGAGACUGUCCCCAGCUGGAGAAGCAGAAGGGAGGAGUUUCAGGUACUAUGACCUGGCCACCUCCAGGGAUUCUCCUAUGGAAAAGAGUGUGAAAUGGGACUUCUGGGAGAGCAGGGUUCAUUCUGGGAAGAUAGAGCAAGAGGAACU